This 23-nucleotide small nuclear RNA is filed under the name Arabidopsis thaliana (thale cress). RNAcentral's name for it is "snRNA_00661". Lineage: Eukaryota; Viridiplantae; Streptophyta; Magnoliopsida; Brassicales; Brassicaceae. The record is from RNAcentral.
UGUUGUCGCUGGUUGUUGUCGCU